UUACAUCUACUUUCAAAUAAGUAUUAUUGUAAAAUAAUCCCUCAUCUAAAAUAUCAUUUCAUUCACGUAUAAAAUCAUUCAAGUUCGGUUUUGCAUUACCAUAAUAUAUUGCUAUCGGAAAAGGAGACACCGUACAAUUGUUUCAUAUUCAUUUGCAUAAAAUGGGCCAAAACUGUUUGUUCCAACUUUUUGAAAUCGGAAUGCCAUCGAUAUUCAAAAUUAAUCGAAACAUAAGUGUUUCUUUUACUUCAGUAAAUACAUUUUCAUUUUCUAGCAACGUUAAUAGAUACUCUUUUCUGCCAAAAUAUGUGUACUGAGCUAUUGUCUUCGUUUUGCUGAAGACUGACGCAAUAUUUCAUGAUCGUUUACUUUUUAACAGGGUGCGAGAAUCGCGUGGAAGUUCAUAUUCUGGAAAAAUAUCCUUCAAACCCUUUAAUAAAUUACUCAGUUCACAGUGAUUCAUUUUAUUUUCGACGGACAAUGUUCUUAAAAAACUAAGUACAUUUCAAUUCGUCACAUCGGGACUUGCUUCAAAUUCGAAUCGAGGAAACGCAGCAACGUCGCCAUCACGUUUAAUCGCCAACGAACGUCGCUUUAUCGAGAGGAGUAUACGAUCAGUAAAAUGAAUAAAAUGUUGAAAAUUUAUAGAAUUGGAAAGGCAGGGGAAAGAGGUAUACGUGUAUAUAUCUUCAUUUAUCCUCUGUUUUUUCGUGACAAAACGUAUUAAUAAUCACCAAUCGGUGGCAUGAUAAAACGACAUUACAUUCGAUAUGACAUUUUAUACAAUGGUGAAUGUUACAUUUCCAAUAAAGAGAAAUAAACGAAUAAAAGAAACAAUAGAAAAAGAAACACACUCACUGUCUACUGUUGUAAGAAUCUCGGAUAUGGUAUAUUAUCGCAAAAGUGUAUCGAUUUGAAAAAUUGUUAUCGAUCGUGCACAUAUCUUUUUCCUCAAUUUUGUCCAUUCGUAACAAUAAAGCGUUAUUGAUAUCAUUAA
This is a long non-coding RNA of Osmia bicornis bicornis, 997 nucleotides long. RefSeq lists it as uncharacterized. The record is from RefSeq and is a predicted model, not a curated record. The transcript is spliced from 2 exons. Lineage: Eukaryota; Metazoa; Arthropoda; Insecta; Hymenoptera; Megachilidae.